GGGCUCGUGGUCUAGUCGGUUAUGACGUUGCCUUCACACGGCAGAGGUCCUGCGUUCGAAUCGCAGCGAGCCCA
Molecule: transfer RNA, 74 nt
Filed under: ANME-2 cluster archaeon
Lineage: Archaea; Methanobacteriati; Methanobacteriota; Methanomicrobia; Methanosarcinales
Also listed under: 1 other name
Description: tRNA-Val
Rfam family: tRNA
About the family: Transfer RNA (tRNA) molecules are approximately 80 nucleotides in length.
Source: RNAcentral